This 164-nucleotide microRNA precursor is filed under the name Lotus japonicus. Its description in RNAcentral is "miR11155b stem-loop (lja-MIR11155b)". Lineage: Eukaryota; Viridiplantae; Streptophyta; Magnoliopsida; Fabales; Fabaceae. The record is from miRBase by way of RNAcentral.
AUUAGUCUCUUAAUUAUAAGCGAGUUUGAUUUUAGUCCCUCUGAGAAAAUAUGAUUUUUAGUGGCGGUCAUGUUUACAAUUACUGGCGGUUUUGACCACCACUAAAACGUCAUUUUUCCUUAGAUGGACUAAAAUUAAACUCGCUUACAAACCUAGGGACUAAU